Lolium perenne is the source of this 1864-nucleotide RNA transcript. It is a transcript of the gene named FBD-associated F-box protein At1g61320, with no coding region annotated. The record is from RefSeq and is a predicted model, not a curated record. Lineage: Eukaryota; Viridiplantae; Streptophyta; Magnoliopsida; Poales; Poaceae.
CUGAUUAUCCUUCCUCGGCGAGGUCGGAGUCGAAAACACAAGCCGCCGUCGGCACCCAGGGCCUUGUCGAUCCCAACCCAUGCAGUUCGGCUUCGAUGCCGCCGUGCGCACGACGCAGCGGUGGCUGCAGCAAGUUUUUACUCCUGCAGAUAGUGGAUCGGCGACGUCAUCGGCUGAUUCAAAUGCCACAACCUGCAAACAAGACGAUGUUUCUCAAGCUGCUCAAAAUACAAGACAGGAACCUAUGUUUGAGGAACUCCCAGAGGACAUCCGUUACCAUAUACAUUCCCUCUUGCCAGUGCAAGAUGCUGCCCGUGCUGCCUGUGUAUCUCAUGGUUUUCUGCGUUCCUGGAGAUGCUAUCCCAAUCUCACACUCAACGAGCGUACACUUGGGUUGGCUGGCAAGAAAAUUAAGGGCAGAGAAAUCGAUCUCAUCUGCAUAGUUGACCCCAUUCUGAAGAACCAUUCUGGGCUGAAGACACUUAUACUUGAUCUUUUACCUUUCAGAAAUAUCAGCGCCUCCUGCCUGGACAGGUGGCUCCAUGCCGCUGUUCAUUCUGGGGUCAAAGAACUUAGCUUGGCGCUGUCUUCACACAGCGAGGAAAGUUACAGCUUCCCAUGUUCGGUUUUGUCUGGUGAGGCGGCUGCAAGUUCAAUUCAGUCUCUUUAUCUCUUUGGUUGCGCUUUUCAUCCCACAGAAACAAUUGGCCACUUGAGAAGAUUGAAAAUAUUGCAUCUGUCUUGUGUCCACAUUACUGAGGAGGGAUUGGAGCACCUGCUCUCGAAAUCUUUUGCCCUGGAGGAGCUGGAAAUCUUCAAAUGCAGCAACAUAAUUUGCUUGACGAUACCUUGUACACUGCAGCAACUCAAGUUCCUCAAGGUUGCAUGGUGUCAAGUGUUGCAGGCGGUGGAGAUUAAUGCCCCAAAGCUCUCCUCGUUUUACUACAGUGGGACAGCCCUGCUUGGAAUCUCUGUUGGAGAUUCUUCACAACUUAAGGAUGUGCAUUUGGUCCAUCCGCCCUGCAUUCUCUAUUAUGCACGUGCUAGGCUUCCGUCCAUCGCACGGAAUGUUAAGAGCCUUACCCUGGCCUCUUGUGGCGAGAAUGUCAACACUCCGAUGCUUCUCUCCAAGCUCCCACGCCUCAAGAAGUUGGACAUUAGACUCCUUGGAUUAGAACCAGCCUUCUCUCCUCACUAUGAUGCCCUGUCUCUGAUUUCUUUUCUUCAAGCCUCUCCUGCCUUGGAUUCUUUUAUACUGCGUAUCAAUCAAGACGUCAUGUGUCACGAUUCUGUUGUUGGAGAUGACUACAUUUACCUGAGGAAGAAGCCAGAGUUCCGGCAUGAGCACCUCAGGCAAGUGAUGAUCACAGGUUUCCGUGCAUCCAAGAGCCUGGUUGAGCUCGUGAUCUACAUCCUUGAGAGUGCGCCUUCGCUCGAGCGCCUCAAACUAGACACAACAGAUAGCGAUGAUAGGAGUUCUUGUACCUCAAGAAAGCCAUGCAGAUGCUCGUGGAUGACAAAGAGUAAUGUUGCGGACGCUCAUGUAGCUAUGGAGGUUGCUGCCAGAUGCAUCGCGUCGAGAGUUCCCUCUGGUGUUGAAUUCAAGGUCCUAGGGCCCUGCAAGCUGUAGCGUGGCAGUUGCUGUGACAUAGUAAGCAGUUGGGUGAUGCACAAUAUAAGCAAAAAUGCUCCAAACUGGUCCUACACUCCUGCUCGACUCUUUAAAAGAUGUGCAACAGCAGGUUUUCCUUGGAAGCAAAUGUCUUCUGGCAACGGAACCGGCUGCCAGCCGGUGCGGUACUCCAGGAGCUCCUUGAGCGCCAAUGACGCCGGCUGGACGGAACAAGGCUGGUAGCAUUCCCGG